Molecule: ribosomal RNA, 491 nt
Filed under: Haplohyphes aquilonius
Lineage: Eukaryota; Metazoa; Arthropoda; Insecta; Ephemeroptera; Leptohyphidae
Description: partial 16S ribosomal RNA
Rfam family: Bacterial large subunit ribosomal RNA
Source: RNAcentral
UUUCUUUAUGGGGGAUUAUAAAGUAAGGCCUGCCCCCUGCUAGUUAAAGGGCCGCGGUAUUUUGACCGUGCAAAGGUAGCAUAAUCAUUAGUUUUUUAAUUGAAGACUGGAAUGAAUGGUUAAACGAAAGAUUGGCUGUCUCUAAAGGAAUAGAGAAUUUAAUGUUAUAGUGAAAAAGCUAUAAUAAAUAAAGGGGACGAGAAGACCCUAUAGAGCUUUAUAAAUUUAAGAUUAUAAAAUUGGUAAAUUUUUAAGUAAUAAAAAAUUUAUUGGAUUGGGGUGAUAUUAAAAUAAAUAAACUUUUUAAAUUAUAACAUUGUUAGUGAAAAUAAGAUCCUAAUAGGAAUUAAGAAUAAGUUACCUUAGGGAUAACAGCGUAAUUUUUUUGGAGAGUUCAAAUCGAUAAAAGGGUUUGCGACCUCGAUGUUGGAUUAGAAAAAUCUCGGGGGUAGUCUUUGGAGUGAGGGGUCUGUUCGACCUAUAAAUUUCUA